AACACUAAUUGCUCCCGUAAGUCGCUCUGGAUAAGAGCGUCUGCUAAAUGACUAAAA
Non-coding RNA from Salmo salar (Atlantic salmon), 57 nucleotides. NCBI's taxonomy places the organism in Eukaryota, Metazoa, Chordata, Actinopteri, Salmoniformes, Salmonidae. The record is from Rfam.